GAGGCUCGUGCUCCGGGUCUCGCGGACGGCCGCCUCGGGCGUCGGGUCCCGGAGAUUGGACAGACACCAGAGCCCGAGGACCGCGGAGUGGCCGGGUGGGGCUGGAGGGCGGCGCCGCGCCUUCUGGGGAGACACGGAGGUAUCAGGACCUGGGAUAUGCUCCUGAUUUUAUACAGACUGCCAUGGCUCCAGAUAUAAAAGACCAAAUAAAAAGAGAUCGGUAAGAGGGAGGGACCAAGAUGGCUGACCAGAAGCAGCUGCAGUUGGAGGCUCUCACCAAGAAGAAAGAAAAAGAGACAGCAGCUCCCUAUAUUGUACAGGCUGGCCUCAAGAGAUCUCCCACCUCGGCCACCCAAAUUAUUGGGAUUACAGGCAUGAGUCACAAUGCCUGGACUGUCAUUGAUUUUUGAAUAUUAAACUAAUCUUCAUGACUAGGAUGAAUCUCACUUGGUCAUGGAUUAAGAUCCAAACGUUGUUGAAAAAUGUUCAGAUCCUACAAAACACUGACAUGCCAGUUCCUCAGCUUUGAUGGAGAAACCAGCUUUCUCUUCUUGCAGAGAUACUCUUCAUGAAAAGUGGAGCUCCAAGAAGAAUAGACAUGAGGAAAAUACGUAUUUUUACAAAAGGAAAUGUAUGGUGCAAUUAUAAACUGUAGCAUGAACCCAUAAUUGGAAGUCUACGUCUCACAGUUAUAGUCAAUAAUUCUGGUACAUAUGAAAUAAGUUCUUUCAAAAUGGGAUUCAGGUAUUAUUUAGAAAUGCAUCUACUGAAAAGAAGCAUACCACAAAAAUUUAUGCUGAUUAUGGAUGAGAUCAUGGACAGUUUCAUCCAAAUUAUGAGCUGGAUUUGUCAGAUGUAGAGUCUCAAUCAGGUCACUUGAAAGACCAAAUGAUUUCCUUUUCAUCUGAAGGGUUCAGAGAGGCAGCUUUUGAAAAGGCGCUAUUGAAAUAUUCAAGGUAGCUGUUCUUAGCACAGCUUUGAUUUCUAAAACAACUAGAAGGACUGUAGAACUACAUGAGGGAAGAGAAGAGAAACUGAAGAAUUGUUUGAAAACAUAAAUAUUCUUUACUUAUAGUACCACUCCAUGCUUUGGGAAAAAAAAUUAUUUUAUGAAGUCAAGAAGUAAAUCAGAAGAAAACAGCAGGGAAAGUCAGCACAAACGGGUUUAUCUAAUACUUUCUCAGUGUCCAAUUUGCAAUGCACUGAGUUCCCUGCUUAACUAUGUCUAUACAAUGGGGGCAGGGAGAGGAGUAGGUUAAAAAUAAAUAUGAGUUGCAAGUCUUUCUCCUCAGGCUGCUAAUAUUAAUAUACCUGAAUUUUAUGUUUGUUGUUGUCUUCCUUGUCUCUAUAGUUUUUGCAACUAGUGUAUAUAUGUCUAAACAAUCUAUUGCUUAAAUUUACAUAAUUUUCAACUUUACAUAUGUAGAAUCAUGCUGUUUGUUUCCUUCCAUACCUCAGUUUUUUCACUAAAAAUUGUCUUCUGAAAAAACUUGGAGGUAUCAUAUUUCCUGAUUUAAAAUUAUAUUACAAUGUUAUAGUAAACAAAUCAGUAUAGUACUUACACAAAAACAAACACAGUGUAACAGAAUGGAGUGCAGAUAUAAAUUCAAACAUACACAGUAAGCUAAUUUUUGACAGAGACACCAAGAGGAUACAGUGGGAAAAGGAUAGGAUCUUCAAUAAAUAGUGCUGAGAAAAUUGAAUUUCCACACAUAUGCAAAAUUUAUAAAAUAUAAGGCCUAAAACUAUAAAAUUCCUUAAAGAGAACACAAAAAGCUCCUGGACAUUGGCCUUGGAAAUAAUUUUUUGAAUAUCCCACCAAAAAAUGAAAAAAAAAAAAAA
Long non-coding RNA from Macaca mulatta (Rhesus monkey), 1842 nucleotides. The record is from Ensembl. NCBI's taxonomy places the organism in Eukaryota, Metazoa, Chordata, Mammalia, Primates, Cercopithecidae.